GGGUGCUUAACUCAGUUGGUAGAGUACCUCGUUUACACCGAGGCUGUCAGCGGUUCGAGCCCGUUAGCUCCCA
Molecule: transfer RNA, 73 nt
Filed under: Monomastix sp. OKE-1
Lineage: Eukaryota; Viridiplantae; Chlorophyta; Mamiellophyceae; Monomastigales; Monomastigaceae
Description: tRNA-Val
Rfam family: tRNA
About the family: Transfer RNA (tRNA) molecules are approximately 80 nucleotides in length.
Source: RNAcentral